Molecule: ribosomal RNA, 424 nt
Filed under: uncultured Paraprevotella sp.
Lineage: Bacteria; Pseudomonadati; Bacteroidota; Bacteroidia; Bacteroidales; Prevotellaceae
Description: bacterial SSU rRNA
Rfam family: Bacterial small subunit ribosomal RNA
Source: RNAcentral
UGAGGAAUAUUGGUCAAUGGGCGCAAGCCUGAACCAGCCAAGUAGCGUGAAGGACGACGGCCCUACGGGUUGUAAACUUCUUUUGGCGCGGAAUAAAUCGGGGCACGCGCUGCCCCUUGGAAUGUACGCGUCGAAUAAGCAUCGGCUAAUUCCGUGCCAGCAGCCGCGGUAAUACGGAAGAUGCGAGCGUUAUCCGGAUUUAUUGGGUUUAAAGGGAGCGUAGGCGGACAGUUAAGUCGGCGGUCAAAGCCCGGGGCCCAACCCCGGCCAGCCGUCGAAACUGGCGGUCUUGAAUGCGCACAAGGGAGACGGAAUUCGUCGUGUAGCGGUGAAAUGCUUAGAUAUGACGAAGAACUCCGAUUGCGAAGGCAGUCUCCUGGGGCGCGAUUGACGCUGAGGCUCGAAAGUGCGGGUAUCAAACAGG